RNAcentral lists this ribosomal RNA (1581 nucleotides) under Salmonella enterica subsp. enterica serovar Kentucky. RNAcentral describes it as "partial 23S ribosomal RNA". It matches the Rfam family "Bacterial large subunit ribosomal RNA", at positions 1238 to 2803 of the family's 2925-position model. Lineage: Bacteria; Pseudomonadati; Pseudomonadota; Gammaproteobacteria; Enterobacterales; Enterobacteriaceae. The record is from RNAcentral.
GUUCUGUAAGCCUGUGAAGGUGGCCUGUGAGGGUUGCUGGAGGUAUCAGAAGUGCGAAUGCUGACAUAAGUAACGAUAAAGCGGGUGAAAAGCCCGCUCGCCGGAAGACCAAGGGUUCCUGUCCAACGUUAAUCGGGGCAGGGUGAGUCGACCCCUAAGGCGAGGCCGAAAGGCGUAGUCGAUGGGAAACGGGUUAAUAUUCCCGUACUUGGUGUUACUGCGAAGGGGGGACGGAGAAGGCUAUGUUGGCCGGGCGACGGUUGUCCCGGUUUAAGCGUGUAGGCUGGUUUUCCAGGCAAAUCCGGAAAAUCAAGGCUGAGGCGUGAUGACGAGGCACUACGGUGCUGAAGCAACAAAUGCCCUGCUUCCAGGAAAAGCCUCUAAGCAUCAGGUAACAUCAAAUCGUACCCCAAACCGACACAGGUGGUCAGGUAGAGAAUACCAAGGCGCUUGAGAGAACUCGGGUGAAGGAACUAGGCAAAAUGGUGCCGUAACUUCGGGAGAAGGCACGCUGACACGUAGGUGAAGUGAUUUACUCAUGGAGCUGAAGUCAGUCGAAGAUACCAGCUGGCUGCAACUGUUUAUUAAAAACACAGCACUGUGCAAACACGAAAGUGGACGUAUACGGUGUGACGCCUGCCCGGUGCCGGAAGGUUAAUUGAUGGGGUCAGCGCAAGCGAAGCUCCUGAUCGAAGCCCCGGUAAACGGCGGCCGUAACUAUAACGGUCCUAAGGUAGCGAAAUUCCUUGUCGGGUAAGUUCCGACCUGCACGAAUGGCGUAAUGAUGGCCAGGCUGUCUCCACCCGAGACUCAGUGAAAUUGAACUCGCUGUGAAGAUGCAGUGUACCCGCGGCAAGACGGAAAGACCCCGUGAACCUUUACUAUAGCUUGACACUGAACAUUGAGCCUUGAUGUGUAGGAUAGGUGGGAGGCUUUGAAGUGUGGACGCCAGUCUGCAUGGAGCCGACCUUGAAAUACCACCCUUUAAUGUUUGAUGUUCUAACGUGGACCCGUAAUCCGGGUUGCGGACAGUGUCUGGUGGGUAGUUUGACUGGGGCGGUCUCCUCCUAAAGAGUAACGGAGGAGCACGAAGGUUGGCUAAUCCUGGUCGGACAUCAGGAGGUUAGUGCAAUGGCAUAAGCCAGCUUGACUGCGAGCGUGACGGCGCGAGCAGGUGCGAAAGCAGGUCAUAGUGAUCCGGUGGUUCUGAAUGGAAGGGCCAUCGCUCAACGGAUAAAAGGUACUCCGGGGAUAACAGGCUGAUACCGCCCAAGAGUUCAUAUCGACGGCGGUGUUUGGCACCUCGAUGUCGGCUCAUCACAUCCUGGGGCUGAAGUAGGUCCCAAGGGUAUGGCUGUUCGCCAUUUAAAGUGGUACGCGAGCUGGGUUUAGAACGUCGUGAGACAGUUCGGUCCCUAUCUGCCGUGGGCGCUGGAGAACUGAGGGGGGCUGCUCCUAGUACGAGAGGACCGGAGUGGACGCAUCACUGGUGUUCGGGUUGUCAUGCCAAUGGCACUGCCCGGUAGCUAAAUGCGGAAGAGAUAAGUGCUGAAAGCAUCUAAGCACGAAACUUGCCCCGAG